RNAcentral lists this ribosomal RNA (253 nucleotides) under uncultured bacterium. RNAcentral's name for it is "partial 16S ribosomal RNA". It matches the Rfam family "Bacterial small subunit ribosomal RNA", at positions 524 to 776 of the family's 1533-position model. The record is from RNAcentral.
UACGUAGGGGGCAAGCGUUAUCCGGAUUUACUGGGUGUAAAGGGAGCGUAGACGGCGAUGCAAGCCAGAUGUGAAAGCCCGGGGCUCAACCCCGGGACUGCAUUUGGAACUGUGUGGCUGGAGGGUCGGAGAGGCAGGCGGAAUUCCUAGUGUAGCGGUGAAAUGCGUAGAUAUUAGGAGGAACACCAGUGGCGAAGGCGGCCUGCUGGACGAUGACUGACGUUGAGGCUCGAAAGCGUGGGGAGCAAACAGG